This 694-nucleotide ribosomal RNA is filed under the name uncultured bacterium. RNAcentral describes it as "bacterial SSU rRNA". It matches the Rfam family "Bacterial small subunit ribosomal RNA", at positions 111 to 823 of the family's 1533-position model. The record is from RNAcentral.
UAACGCGUGGGUAACCUGCCGUAUACAGGGGGAUAACACUUAGAAAUAGGUGCUAAAACCGCAUAAGCGCACAGGAUCGCAUGGUCUGGUGUGAAAAACUCCGGUGGUAUACGAUGGACCCGCGUCUGAUUAGCUUGUUGGCGGGGUAGAGGCCCACCAAGGCGACGAUCAGUAGCCGGCCUGAGAGGGUGAACGGCCACAUUGGGACUGAGACACGGCCCAAACUCCUACGGGAGGCAGCAGUGGGGAAUAUUGCACAAUGGGGGAAACCCUGAUGCAGCGACGCCGCGUGAGUGAAGAAGUAUUUCGGUAUGUAAAGCUCUAUCAGCAGGAAAGAAAAUGACGGUACCUGACUAAGAAGCCCCGGCUAACUACGUGCCAGCAGCCGCGGUAAUACGUAGGGGGCAAGCGUUAUCCGGAUUUACUGGGUGUAAAGGGAGCGUAGACGGUGAAGCAAGUCUGAAGUGAAAGGCGGGGGCUCAACCCCCGGACUGCUUUGGAAACUGUUUGACUGGAGUGCAGGAGAGGUAAGUGGAAUUCCUAGUGUAGCGGUGAAAUGCGUAGAUAUUAGGAGGAACACCAGUGGCGAAGGCGGCUUACUGGACUGUAACUGACGUUGAGGCUCGAAAGCGUGGGGAGCAAACAGGAUUAGAUACCCUGGUAGUCCACGCGGUAAACGAUGAUCACUAGGUGU